RNAcentral lists this ribosomal RNA (461 nucleotides) under uncultured Pelotomaculum sp. Its description in RNAcentral is "bacterial SSU rRNA". It matches the Rfam family "Bacterial small subunit ribosomal RNA", at positions 924 to 1382 of the family's 1533-position model. The record is from RNAcentral. Lineage: Bacteria; Bacillati; Bacillota; Clostridia; Eubacteriales; Desulfotomaculaceae.
CACAAGCGGUGGAGCAUGUGGUUUAAUUCGACGCAACGCGAAGAACCUUACCAGGGCUUGACAUCCCCUGACCGCGUAUGAAAGUACGUUUUCACCCUCGGGUGACAGGGAGACAGGUGGUGCAUGGUUGUCGUCAGCUCGUGUCGUGAGAUGUUGGGUUAAGUCCCGCAACGAGCGCAACCCCUACGUUUAGUUGCUAACGCGUGAAGGCGAGCACUCUAGACGAACUGCCGUUGACAAAACGGAGGAAGGUGGGGAUGACGUCAAAUCAUCAUGCCCCUUAUGUUCUGGGCUACACACGUGCUACAAUGGCCGGUACAGACGGACGCAAAGCCGCGAGGUGGAGCAAAUCCUAAAAAGCCGGUCUCAGUUCGGAUUGCAGGCUGCAAUUCGCCUGCAUGAAGUCGGAAUCGCUAGUAAUCGCAGGUCAGCAUACUGCGGUGAAUACGUUCCCGGGCCUU